Molecule: ribosomal RNA, 253 nt
Filed under: uncultured bacterium
Lineage: Bacteria
Description: partial 16S ribosomal RNA
Rfam family: Bacterial small subunit ribosomal RNA
Source: RNAcentral
UACAGGGGGUGCAAACGUUGCUCGGAAUUACUGGGCGUAAAGGGCGCGUAGGCGGCUCGCUAAGUCGGAUGUGAAAACUCUGGGCUCAACCCAGAGCCUGCAUUCGAAACUGACGAGCUAGAGUUCUGGAGGGGAAAGCGGAAUUCCUGGUGUAGCGGUGAAAUGCGUAGAUAUCAGGAGGAACACCGGUGGCGAAGGCGGCUUUCUGGAUAGAAACUGACGCUGAGGCGCGAAAGCUAGGGGAGCAAACAGG